GAUGAACGCUGGCGGCGUGCCUAAUACAUGCAAGUCGAGCGAACAGACGAGGAGCUUGCUCCUCUGACGUUAGCGGCGGACGGGUGAGUAACACGUGGAUAACCUACCUAUAAGACUGGGAUAACUUCGGGAAACCGGAGCUAAUACCGGAUAAUAUAUUGAACCGCAUGGUUCAAUAGUGAAAGACGGUUUUGCUGUCACUUAUAGAUGGAUCCGCGCCGCAUUAGCUAGUUGGUAAGGUAACGGCUUACCAAGGCAACGAUGCGUAGCCGACCUGAGAGGGUGAUCGGCAACACUGGAACUGAGACACGGUCCAGACUCCUACGGGAGGCAGCAGUAGGGAAUCUUCCGCAAUGGGCGAAAGCCUGACGGAGCAACGCGGCGUGAGUGAUGAAGGUCUUCGGAUCGUAAAACUCUGUUAUUAGGGAAGAACAAAUGUGUAAGUAACUAUGCACGUCUUGACGGUACCUAAUCAGAAAGCCACGGCUAACUACGU
Molecule: ribosomal RNA, 496 nt
Filed under: uncultured bacterium
Lineage: Bacteria
Description: partial 16S ribosomal RNA
Rfam family: Bacterial small subunit ribosomal RNA
Source: RNAcentral